This 253-nucleotide ribosomal RNA is filed under the name uncultured bacterium. RNAcentral's name for it is "partial 16S ribosomal RNA". It matches the Rfam family "Bacterial small subunit ribosomal RNA", at positions 524 to 776 of the family's 1533-position model. The record is from RNAcentral.
UACGGAGGGGGCUAGCGUUGUUCGGAAUUACUGGGCGUAAAGCGCACGUAGGCGGACUGGAAAGUUGGAGGUGAAAUCCCAGGGCUCAACCUUGGAACUGCCUUCAAAACUCCCAGUCUAGAGUUCGAGAGAGGUGAGUGGAAUUCCGAGUGUAGAGGUGAAAUUCGUAGAUAUUCGGAGGAACACCAGUGGCGAAGGCGGCUCACCGGCUCGAUACUGACGCUGAGGUGCGAAAGCGUGGGGAGCAAACAGG